UUGUUUGUUUGGGGUGGGGGUGGGGGGAGGAAAGGAAGAAAGAAAGGAAAGGAAAAGGAAAGGAGGGGGAGGGGGAGGGAGAGGCAACGCCGAGGAUCCCGAGAAUCUUGCACCAAACGCGCCCAACCUGGAGAGAGGGGGAAAAAUCCUUCCAGAAGAAUUUGCAGGCGUGGAUUGGGGUAAUUUUCUCUCUCUCUCUCUCUCUCUCUUUUUUUUUUUUUUUUUUUUUUGGCGAGAUGGCGUGGGGGGAUCGGAGUUGGAGGCAGGGAGGAGGGGGGGAAAGUUUCUCGGGGGAGGCAAAAAAAAGUUUUCUCUCCUCUGCAAAAGGCGGGCAGGGCGCCCUAAGUCCAAGGACAAUCCAUGGAAGUGUUCGCUUCUUCACAAGUUGUGCAAACGAUUUGUUAGUUCAUGAGCCUAAUUAGUGCGGGGAUCACAUAAACAGCUUCCUCCGAAGCCUGGUAAAUGGCUUGAUGAUUGGUCGCUAUUACUCGCCCUGAGGUGGAAGGGGGGAGACUCUUUAAAGUGCGUCAGAGGGAGGCGAGCGCCUGGGAACCCGGAGGCCUGGAUCCCGGCCGAGUGUGGAACGGAGUCGGCGCCGCUGCCUCGGCCGAGCCUCCUGCGCCCGCCAGGCCGCCGACCUCGCCGCGCCUUCGCCCCGCGCUCCUAGCUCGCUCGCUCCCGCGGCGCCCGCUGCGGCUUCUCCUCCUCCUCUUUCGCCUCCUCCUCUUCCUUCGGCCUCCUCUCCUCCUUCUCCUUCUCCUCCUCCUCCUCCUCCUCCUCCUCCUCCUCUUCCUCCUUCUUCUCCUCCUCCUUCUCUUCUUCCUCCUCCUCUUUCCCCACCUCCUCCCCCUCUGCCACCGCCUCCUCCUCCACCACCACCACUCCCUCCGGGGCACCCCGGUCCCUGCAGAGUCCCCGGCCCGCGCCGCCUCGGCUGCGGCCCCCUGGAUCCCGAGCUGGUGGGACAGACGGACGGACGGACACGCAGAUUCCCUCGCGCCUAGCUCUCGCCGCUGCUGUCCCCCGUGGCCCCACGUCCGCGAAGCUGGGAUCGCCCCCCGGAGCACUGCGAGGGUGUUCACUUGGCAAGAGACUCCUAAUCCAGAAACCGUUCCAGCACGGGGAUAAGUUUUUCUAAGCAGCAAAUGACUACAAACACAUCUGCAUUGACAAGUCACAACUUAUAUCCUUCUAUGGUGUUUCUGCUCUUUUGAAAAUGUUAAUAAAAACUUAAUGUGGAAAAAAAACAACUUUUUCCAAAUAUGUGUACCAAUAAGCCUGAGGCAACUCAUACUUUCUUAUAAAAUAAAGUAGGUCACUCACAUCAAUCAUGUUGUCUUAGCACAUUUUUUCCAAAUUAGGAAUUCUCAAUCCAUCAUACAACAUUAUGGCAUCCCUUUUCCAAACAUUUCCUUUUAAUAUGCUCUUUAACAUGAUAAGCAAAUCUAAUAGAAUACAUUAGUGUCACUUCUCAGUGAUGGAGCGUUUCCUCCUGUUGCAAUUCACGAUGAGUUCAGG
RNAcentral lists this long non-coding RNA (1518 nucleotides) under Zalophus californianus (California sea lion). RNAcentral's name for it is "lncRNA (ENSZCAG00015023558.1)". The record is from RNAcentral. Lineage: Eukaryota; Metazoa; Chordata; Mammalia; Carnivora; Otariidae.